GGGAAUGUGGCUUAGUGGUAGAGUGCUUGCCUGGCAUGCAUGAAGGCUUGGGUUCAAUUCCUCAGUACUACCG
RNAcentral lists this transfer RNA (73 nucleotides) under Dipodomys ordii (Ord's kangaroo rat). It matches the Rfam family "tRNA". From Rfam's summary of the family: Transfer RNA (tRNA) molecules are approximately 80 nucleotides in length. Their secondary structure includes four short double-helical elements and three loops (D, anti-codon, and T loops). Further hydrogen bonds mediate the characteristic L-shaped molecular structure. tRNAs have two regions of fundamental functional importance: the anti-codon, which is responsible for specific mRNA codon recognition, and the 3' end, to which the tRNAs corresponding amino acid is attached (by aminoacyl-tRNA synthetases). tRNAs cope with the degeneracy of the genetic code in two manners: having more than one tRNA (with a specific anti-codon) for a particular amino acid; and 'wobble' base-pairing, i.e. permitting non-standard base-pairing at the 3rd anti-codon position. The record is from Rfam by way of RNAcentral. Lineage: Eukaryota; Metazoa; Chordata; Mammalia; Rodentia; Heteromyidae.